AACGCGAAGAACCUUACCUGGGCUCGAACGGCUAUGGACAAUCUUUGGAAACAGAGACUUCUCGCAAGAGACUGUAGUCGAGGUGCUGCAUGGCUGUCGUCAGCUCGUGUCGUGAGAUGUUGGGUUAAGUCCCGCAACGAGCGCAACCCUUGUCCUGUGUUGCCAUCAUUAAGUUGGGCACUCUCAGGAGACCGCCAGCGAUAAGCUGGAGGAAGGUGGGGAUGAUGUCAAGUCAUCAUGGCCUUUAUGUCCAGGGCUACACACGUGCUACAAUGGCCGGUACAAAGCGCUGCAAACUCGCAAGAGGGAGCUAAUCGCAAAAAACCGGUCUCAGUUCGGAUCGCAGGCUGCAACUCGCCUGCGUGAAGCUGGAAUCGCUAGUAAUGCCGUAUCAGAACGAUGGCGUGAAUACGUUCCCGGGCCUUGUA
Molecule: ribosomal RNA, 428 nt
Filed under: uncultured Acidobacterium sp.
Lineage: Bacteria; Pseudomonadati; Acidobacteriota; Terriglobia; Terriglobales; Acidobacteriaceae
Description: bacterial SSU rRNA
Rfam family: Bacterial small subunit ribosomal RNA
Source: RNAcentral